Molecule: long non-coding RNA, 981 nt
Organism: Notothenia coriiceps (black rockcod)
Lineage: Eukaryota; Metazoa; Chordata; Actinopteri; Perciformes; Nototheniidae
Exons: 6
Source: RefSeq, a predicted model, not a curated record
UUCGUUCUUAUAUUUCAGGGUAUAAACUACAAAAACAUUCGUUUGCAUUAUACAUUCGCCAUUUUACACAGCGACUACUCGGUUGUUGUGUGUUAUCCCUCCGAAAAAAACACCCGUCUUUAAGGUUCUAUUUUUGUGAGCUUCCUGUUCAAUCCUAUCAGCAACAUGGGAAAGCCAAAGGUAGCCGUCACAGAGAGAAGAGUUUCCCCGAGGCUGGCUGGGAAACUGGGAGCUAAACCUGCAGUGGAGGUAAAGAAGAAGCCUGUUGUGAAGAAGGCAGCCAAAGCUAAGAAGACCAAGGUAGCCGAGAAUGGGAGCGCGAAGGCUGAGGAGCCAAAGGCCGAAGCCACUGAAGCCAAAUGAAUAACUAUGAGCUCACUCUGUGUACUUGGUGAUUGUACAGUUUUAAAUAAGUAUUUUUUACCAAGUUUUAUAUUACAAAUGUCAUUUAUAGGUUUGUUUUGAACUUGCACUUGAUGUAACAAAACGUUUGUUGUCACAUUCAUAUCCAUUUUAUAUCCAUUUAAAAACGAUUACCGUCCAUAUCUUGUAGAGGUGGCAGAUAAAGUUUGUCUAAUCCGUUUUUGUUUUAUUUUUGUUACUGCUGAACAAUAGAUAUUUUCCAACAAGUUGGAAUCCGAAUCUAAUUUAAAACAUUUUAAGGCAGCUAAAGCAUAUUGUUAAAAUUUGAUGGAGAAUAGGAAUUUUGCCGUUAUCUCCUUGUAUUUCAAUGUAAAACUAAUAAAAUAAAAUUGCUUACCAAAUGUUUUGAUGCACUGUAUGUUGACACAAGCUCCAGUCAGUCAAACACCACAAAAAAAUACUGUUAGGUCAAAAGAUUGAUACAUCCCAAAAACAUGUAUGAUGUGAACCCAGUCAUCUGAUGAAAAGUCCUUUUAAGUUAUGUUUCUGUCCUGACUGAAGCUUUUCUGACUUAAAUGGUUGAUCUAAAUGUUGUUCAAUAAAAAUUGUCAAAAUGUC